RNAcentral lists this ribosomal RNA (495 nucleotides) under uncultured bacterium. Its description in RNAcentral is "partial 16S ribosomal RNA". It matches the Rfam family "Bacterial small subunit ribosomal RNA", at positions 28 to 505 of the family's 1533-position model. The record is from RNAcentral.
GAUGAAUGCUGGCGGCGUGCCUAAUACAUGCAAGUCGAGCGAACAGACGAGGAGCUUGCUCCUCUGACGUUAGCGGCGGACGGGUGAGUAACACGUGGAUAACCUACCUAUAAGACUGGGAUAACUUCGGGAAACCGGAGCUAAUACCGGAUAAUAUAUUGAACCGCAUGGUUCAAUAGUGAAAGACGGUUUUGCUGUCACUUAUAGAUGGAUCCGCGCCGCAUUAGCUAGUUGGUAAGGUAACGGCUUACCAAGGCAACGAUGCGUAGCCGACCUGAGAGGGUGAUCGGCCACACUGGAACUGAGACACGGUCCAGACUCCUACGGGAGGCAGCAGUAGGGAAUCUUCCGCAAUGGGCGAAAGCCUGACGGAGCAACGCCGCGUGAGUGAUGAAGGUCUUCGGAUCGUAAAACUCUGUUAUUAGGGAAGAACAAAUGUGUAAGUAACUAUGCACGUCUUGACGGUACCUAAUCAGAAGGCCACGGCUAACUACG